UGUCUUGACCAAAUUUACAUCACACACAAGGACACAAUCCUACCCCCUAAACCAACUUUCCAUAUGACAUGUUUCCGGUUUGUUCGUGUAUGUUUCCGGUUUAGGAAUAAUUAGUUUAGAUUCUUGUGUUUGGCAUAAUAGUUUGUGUGUUUUUAUAAUUUUAUCAAAUAUUAUAUUUCUCUUAUAUUCUGUAUUUGUUUUUGACCGUUGGUGUGUCAUGUGCGAGUGGGAUUUGCCAAAAUUCCAUAACUAUUUAAUGUAUCUUUUGAUGGAAGACUCAUAAUCAAGCGGUCAAACUCAAACAGUGUGUGAAGAGUAAGAAGACCGGUUCGAGCAUAUUUUAAUUACACAUUAGUUUUUCUUUCAAAUCUAACAUAUACUAAAAGGGUUAUAUGAGCAUCAGAGAAGCUGUCCACGUCAGCAAUUAAAUCAGCCAAUCAGGAGGUUUCUCUACGACACGUCAGACACGGAUUGAACAAAGACGAUCCCGACCCCUUUUCUUUUCGUCUUCUCCGUCAUCUUAGUUUCGUGCGAUCGCCGAUCUGGCUUACUAGCAAUCAAUCCCAUCUCCAUUCUUAAAUGCAAUUUGAUCUCAUUAAUGGAGACUCCUGGCUUUCUCGAUCUGAGAUUCUGUAUAUAUAGAUCUCGCACUCCAGCUCUUCUCUUCACCAAAAUCUUAAUAUCUACUCACGAUUAUAUUAUACCUCCGGCGAUGAUGUUAUCCGAUGUUUCCGAGACAGUGCAAGCGAGCAGUGAAGCUACGGUUCCCCCUGUUUCAGUCGAUCCCGUCAAUCAAACCAGUGUUUCCUCCGGCGAUGCCAAAGCCGGCGAUGUCAGUUCCGUGAAAUCAGAAUUUUAAUGUCAGUUCCGGUAGAUCUUACAAAAUUGUUUUCUGGGAGAUGAUGAGUAGAGUAUGCCCUAUAUAUGCAUGCUUAUGUUUUCGAAGUGAUCUGAAUAUUACUUGACUUUGUGCUUUCUUCGGUUUUCCAUAGUCGUAGAAUGCACUGCUUGAGUUUUGCGAGAGUGGUCAAGGCCAAAUAGCAAGUUGUAGAUGGAAUUCUGCAUCAUCUGAAUCUGGAGAUCAAGAAGAGGCUAUAAAGAAGAAGCCAUGGAUGAACUUCAACUAAUUACAUGAGUUUAUACCUGCGAGUGAUGAUGCGCCUACCAUACUCCCUCAGAUCUUGGUUGCCAAAAAGAUUGGAAUUUUGUUCUUUUUUUUUUGUUGGAUUCGCCACACACCUCACCAGCUCCAAUGGCUUGAAUAGUAUUCUAUGUUCUUCUCGACUCAGUUGUUUUCUCCAUCUCUUUCUUUCUGUUCUCUUAUGGUUUUGUUUACAGAGCGUAUCAGCAUCCAGAUGAGCAACUUGGCAUAUAAUUGGGUUUAGCUCCAAGACGGAUCAAGAUUUGGUUUCAGAACCGAAGAACACAGACAAAGGUUUUCUACUUUUUACUUUCUCUCUUCCUCGCUUUGUCUCUUCUCGAAAAAAUAAAUUAAAGAGUAGUCCUUAGUUUUGCUUCUCCAUCGUUUCUUCUUGCAGGCUCAGCUCAAGAGAGCUGAUAAUUGUGCACUCAAGGAAGAGAAUUAUAGGAUUCGUUAUGAAAACGAUGUCAGUAGAGAAGCUCUCAAAUACGCCACCAAAACUCUUACUUUGAUGAACAGAAGCUUUGAAUCGAAAAUGCUUAGAGAAGAGUGAUGUGAACAUGAUUUUCAAAUAUAGUUGGAUAAUAGCCAUCACAGCAGAGAUCAAGAUGGGACACAAGUUAAGAAAGACAACAACGGAUGCGGUGGUGGAAAUUCUUGUGGUGCCGUGUUCUCGCGGUGGUUUGUGGCGAGGUGAGGAGACAGGAGGGAUGAGAAGGGAGAUUGAGCCUGUUGUCUAGAAGUAGAUUACUCCUAUCCGCACUAUCAGAAGUUCUCUGACAAUGUAAACCAGUAAGUUCCUUUCCGAGUUGAUUUUUGUUAACGCUUCUUAGAUGGUUUUAAGGGCUUGCUGAAGUAGACCAUUAUGCAAAUCCAUGGACCUCUGAUUCAUUGUAUUUCCAUAAACUAUUCCUGCAAAACUAUUGUCCAAUUGUUUAAAGCGUUCAUGGACCACAAAGGUCUUAUUAUUCAUACACCUUAUUAAUUGCUUGCAAACGUUUAAUCUUAGGUACUGAUUUUGACUUUUCAAGGGUAUCUACAGGAGCAUCACUUCCUAUUUCUACUUGCUCUGCUAGCCAUCCUUCAAUCCCUUGAAGCACAUAAACAUCAACUCCAAGAGUGAAGAUAGCUUUUACAUUCUUUUGAAAAUAAGGUAGAAAGAUGAUGAUCAAAUUUUUAGUAUGCUAUUAGAAGUUAUAUUAUUAUUGUUUUUCUUUCUGAUUUUAGUUUGAUACAUGGCUUAUUAGAUUUUGGUUGUUAUAUAAUCUUUAUAAGUUCGUCUCUUACAUGGUUUAAAUUGUGGUAGAAGAAAGGAAGAACAAUUAUAUUUAAACAAGAUGAAGUCAGUCACCUUCCUCAUUUUAGCA
Brassica napus (rape) is the source of this 2508-nucleotide long non-coding RNA. RefSeq lists it as uncharacterized. The transcript has 2 exons. The record is from RefSeq and is a predicted model, not a curated record. NCBI's taxonomy places the organism in Eukaryota, Viridiplantae, Streptophyta, Magnoliopsida, Brassicales, Brassicaceae.